Molecule: ribosomal RNA, 254 nt
Filed under: uncultured bacterium
Lineage: Bacteria
Description: partial 16S ribosomal RNA
Rfam family: Bacterial small subunit ribosomal RNA
Source: RNAcentral
CGGAACCUGCGAAGGCAAGCGGAUCUCUUAAAGCCGUUCUCAGUUCGGACUGUAGGCUGCAACUCGCCUACACGAAGCUGGAAUCGCUAGUAAUCGCGGAUCAGCACGCCGCGGUGAAUACGUUCCCGGGCCUUGUACACACCGCCCGUCACACCAUGAGAGUCUGUAACACCCAAAGCCGGUGGGAUAACCUCUAUAGGAGUCAGCCGUCUAAGGUAGGACAGAUGAUUAGGGUGAAGUCGUAACAAGGUACC